This 81-nucleotide transfer RNA is filed under the name Acidobacteriota bacterium. RNAcentral describes it as "Acidobacteria bacterium tRNA-Glu". Lineage: Bacteria; Pseudomonadati; Acidobacteriota. The record is from RNAcentral.
GAAACCCUCUGCAAGUUAGGCUUCUAAAGCUAUCGCCCUUUCACGGCGCAGACGCGGGUUCAAAUCCCGCCGGGGACGCCA